Long non-coding RNA from Poecilia reticulata (guppy), 299 nucleotides. RefSeq lists it as uncharacterized. NCBI's taxonomy places the organism in Eukaryota, Metazoa, Chordata, Actinopteri, Cyprinodontiformes, Poeciliidae. The record is from RefSeq and is a predicted model, not a curated record.
CUCAGAAAUCGCCCUAGACCACGCUGCUGUUGUUGAGCUUGGUCCACUCAAAGAUGUCCUGCUCACACACAAUGUCCGAGUUGAUGAGAAGGAGGCGCAGAGUCCGUCCUGACCGAAGAGCCUGGGAGGAAGAGGCAGAAGCAGCAUGUUGGUGCAGAAAAAAGACAACUUUCAUUCAGUCGGUGUUCGGAUCGGUCACAUCUUUCAGUUCUCUCAGUGAUUGUUUCUGGCUGUUCAAGAAUUAUACAAAUUUGUUUAUUGAACCAAUUUUCUUGCAAUAGAAAACAUUAAUUACAACA